CUGGAGGUAUCAGAAGUGCGAAUGCUGACAUAAGUAACGAUAAAGCGGGUGAAAAGCCCGCUCGCCGGAAGACCAAGGGUUCCUGUCCAACGUUAAUCGGGGCAGGGUGAGUCGACCCCUAAGGCGAGGCCGAAAGGCGUAGUCGAUGGGAAACAGGUUAAUAUUCCUGUACUUGGUGUUACUGCGAAGGGGGGACGGAGAAGGCUAUGUCAGCCGGGCGACGGUUGUCCCGGUUUAAGCGUGUAGGUGUGUGUUCCAGGCAAAUCCGGUUCACUUUAACACUGAGGCGUGAUGACGAGGCACUACGGUGCUGAAGUGAUAAAUGCCCUGCUUCCAGGAAAAGCCUCUAAGCAUCAGGUAACACGAAAUCGUACCCCAAACCGACACAGGUGGUCAGGUAGAGAAUACCAAGGCGCUUGAGAGAACUCGGGUGAAGGAACUAGGCAAAAUGGUGCCGUAACUUCGGGAGAAGGCACGCUGAUA
This 483-nucleotide ribosomal RNA is filed under the name Enterobacter cloacae. RNAcentral's name for it is "partial 23S ribosomal RNA". It matches the Rfam family "Bacterial large subunit ribosomal RNA", at positions 1273 to 1756 of the family's 2925-position model. Lineage: Bacteria; Pseudomonadati; Pseudomonadota; Gammaproteobacteria; Enterobacterales; Enterobacteriaceae. RNAcentral also lists the same sequence under 1 other name. The record is from RNAcentral.